RNAcentral lists this ribosomal RNA (399 nucleotides) under uncultured Nitrospina sp. RNAcentral describes it as "bacterial SSU rRNA". It matches the Rfam family "Bacterial small subunit ribosomal RNA", at positions 29 to 410 of the family's 1533-position model. The record is from RNAcentral. Lineage: Bacteria; Pseudomonadati; Nitrospinota; Nitrospinia; Nitrospinales; Nitrospinaceae.
AACGAACGCUGGUGGCGUGCUUAACACAUGCAAGUCGAACGAGAAAGUUUCCUUCGGGAAAUUAGUAAAGUGGCGCAAGGGUGAGUAUCACGUGAAUAAUCUGCCCUCGAGAUCGGGAUAACAUGGUGAAAACUAUGCUAAUACCGGAUAAGUACCACAUUUCAUAAGAAAUGCGGUAAAAAGGAGUCUCGAAAUCUUCACUUGAGGAUGAGUUCGCGCAACAUUUAGCUUGUUGGUGAGAUAAAAGCUCACCAAGGCUACGAUGUUUAGCCGGCCUGAGAGGGUGAACGGCCACACUGGAACUGAGACACGGUCCAGACUCCUACGGGAGGCAGCAGUGGGGAAUAUUGCGCAAAUGGGCGAAAAGCCUAGACGUCAGCAAACGCCGUGUGAGCGAUG